This 324-nucleotide ribosomal RNA is filed under the name uncultured bacterium. Its description in RNAcentral is "bacterial SSU rRNA". It matches the Rfam family "Bacterial small subunit ribosomal RNA", at positions 28 to 334 of the family's 1533-position model. The record is from RNAcentral.
GAUGAACGCUGGCGGCGUGCUUAACACAUGCAAGUCGAACGAAGCAUCCAUGAUUGAGACUUCGGUGGAUUGAUUGGAUGACUGAGUGGCGGACGGGUGAGUAACGCGUGGGCAACCUGCCUCGUACAGGGGGACAACAGUUGGAAACGACUGCUAAUACCGCAUAAGCGCACAGCUUCGCAUGAAGCAGUGUGAAAAACUGAGGUGGUACGAGAUGGGCCCGCGUUGGAUUAGGUAGUUGGUGGGGUAACGGCCUACCAAGUCAACGAUCAGUAGCCGGUCUGAGAGGAUGAACGGCCACAUUGGGACUGAGAUACGGCCCAG